This 73-nucleotide transfer RNA is filed under the name Mustela putorius furo (domestic ferret). It matches the Rfam family "tRNA". From Rfam's summary of the family: Transfer RNA (tRNA) molecules are approximately 80 nucleotides in length. Lineage: Eukaryota; Metazoa; Chordata; Mammalia; Carnivora; Mustelidae. The record is from Rfam by way of RNAcentral.
ACCUGGCUGGCUCAGUCAGUGGAGCAUGAAACUCUUGAUCUCAGAGUUGUGAGUUUGAGCCCCAUGUUGGGUA